Molecule: microRNA, 21 nt
Filed under: Mus musculus (house mouse)
Lineage: Eukaryota; Metazoa; Chordata; Mammalia; Rodentia; Muridae
Description: mmu-miR-7078-3p
Source: miRBase by way of RNAcentral
UACUUUUUUUAUCAUCCACAG